Molecule: ribosomal RNA, 33 nt
Filed under: Trichophyton rubrum
Lineage: Eukaryota; Fungi; Ascomycota; Eurotiomycetes; Onygenales; Arthrodermataceae
Description: partial 18S ribosomal RNA
Source: RNAcentral
CUNCCGUAGGGUGAACCUGCGGAAGGAUCAUUA